UACGUAGGGUGCAAGCGUUAAUCGGAAUUACUGGGCGUAAAGCGUGCGCAGGCGGUUUGCUAAGACCGAUGUGAAAUCCCCGGGCUUAACCUGGGAACUGCAUUGGUGACUGGCAAGCUAGAGUGUGGCAGAGGGGGGUAGAAUUCCACGUGUAGCAGUGAAAUGCGUAGAGAUGUGGAGGAAUACCGAUGGCGAAGGCAGCUCGCUGGGACGGUACUGACGCUGAGACGCGAAAGCGUGGGGAGCAAACAGG
Molecule: ribosomal RNA, 253 nt
Filed under: uncultured bacterium
Lineage: Bacteria
Description: partial 16S ribosomal RNA
Rfam family: Bacterial small subunit ribosomal RNA
Source: RNAcentral